Molecule: ribosomal RNA, 562 nt
Filed under: Desmoscolecidae sp. 552_4-1000_X
Lineage: Eukaryota; Metazoa; Nematoda; Chromadorea; Desmoscolecida; Desmoscolecidae
Description: eukaryotic LSU rRNA
Rfam family: Eukaryotic large subunit ribosomal RNA
Source: RNAcentral
AGAGGGCGUGAAACCGCUUAGAAGGAAACGAGAGGCGCCGCAUUUUCCAUCGAGAUUCACCUGCUGUUCGUUGCCAUCGGCUUCGACAUCAGGGCAUUUCUCGUUGGUACGCACCGGAAGCUGUGCUAAUCAUGGAAACGGUCCAGUAGGAGAAGUGCACUUAUAUGUGCUGUCUUCCUUCGGGUUUGUGCCAUUUUUUAGUACAGUUCUCAGGACGCUCAUUAGUGUUCAGUAGCAGUCGGGCAUUCAAAAUCACUACCGGCUCCGGCCAUUUGUCGGACGGGAGUAAUUACUGAUUGUAAUGACUGUUUUAUUGAGACUGUGUCGUUUCGGUGUGAACUUCGGCUAACCUCCCGACCCGUCUUGAAACACGGACCAAGGAGUCUAACAUGUGCGCAAGUCACUGGGUCUGUAAAACCUAUAGGCGCAAUGAAAGUAUAGGCCGGCUUGAUCGGCUGACACACGAUCCGUACGGUCUUGACUGUGCGGCGCAGUGUGGUCCCGUCUUUGGUGCUUGUCACUGAGGCGGAGAUUGAGCGUACAUGUUGGGACCCGAAAGAUG